UACGUAGGGUGCGAGCGUUGUCCGGAAUUACUGGGCGUAAAGAGCUUGUAGGCGGUCUGUCGCGUCUGCUGUGAAAAUCCGGGGCUCAACCCCGGACUUGCAGUGGGUACGGGCAGACUAGAGUGUGGUAGGGGAGACUGGAAUUCCUGGUGUAGCGGUGAAAUGCGCAGAUAUCAGGAGGAACACCGAUGGCGAAGGCAGGUCUCUGGGCCACUACUGACGCUGAGAAGCGAAAGCAUGGGGAGCGAACAGG
This 253-nucleotide ribosomal RNA is filed under the name uncultured bacterium. Its description in RNAcentral is "partial 16S ribosomal RNA". It matches the Rfam family "Bacterial small subunit ribosomal RNA", at positions 524 to 776 of the family's 1533-position model. The record is from RNAcentral.